AACGAACGCUGGCGGCAUGCCUAACACAUGCAAGUCGAACGAGACCUUCGGGUCUAGUGGCGCACGGGUACGUAACGCGUGGGAACCUGCCCUUAGGUUCGGAAUAACUCCCCGUAAGGGGUGCUAAUACCGGAUAAUGUCUUCGGACCAAGGAUUUAUCGCCUUUGGAUGGGCCCGCGUUGGAUUAGGUAGUUGGUAGGGUAAAAGCCUACCAAGGCGACGAUCCAUAGCUGGUCGGAGAGGAUGAUCAGGCACACUGGGACUGAGACACGGCCCAGACUCCUACGGGAGGCAGCAGUGGGGAAUAUUGGACAAUGGGCGAAAGCCUGAUCCAGCAAUGCCGCGUGAGUGAUGAAGGCCUUAGGGUUGUAAAGCUCUUUUACCCGGGAUGAUAAUGACAGUACCGGGUGAAUAAGCUCCGGCUAACUCCGUG
Molecule: ribosomal RNA, 433 nt
Filed under: uncultured bacterium
Lineage: Bacteria
Description: partial 16S ribosomal RNA
Rfam family: Bacterial small subunit ribosomal RNA
Source: RNAcentral